This is a non-coding RNA of Drosophila melanogaster (fruit fly), 655 nucleotides long. The record is from Ensembl. Lineage: Eukaryota; Metazoa; Arthropoda; Insecta; Diptera; Drosophilidae.
GACAAUUUUAUGUCCACAAAAUUAUGUAUUUGUUGAAAACACACAAGCGACAACAACAACAAGGAUAAUAACAACCCAAGCACGGCAAAGCAACAAUAAUGCAAAGCAAUGAAAAUAACCACAAUGGCAGAUACAACAACAACGGCAUUACCAGCGGCAAUGUGAACAACAUCGAGAACGGAACGGACAUAGGAACGGAUAGGACAUAGGAAUUCCGAAUCGAGGGGCCAAAGGACUGAGGGACUGUCAACUGCCAACAAGGACAUAAGCAAUAACAACAAACAGCUAAAAUAGCAACAUGAGCAGAUUAUAAUGAACAACAUAUUCGCACGGCCGCACCCACUGCCACACCCCUCAUCCAUUCGCUGUUCCCCCCCCAAUCGCCCACCGCCCCUCAUUCGACCGCUUUCAUAAUCGCACACGCACUCAAUUUCGUUGGCUGGAGAGGGGAGGGAGGUAGGUAGGUAGGUAGAGGCAGGGGAAAAAGCAACAAAGCGCCAUGCAACAAUUUACGUGUUUUGACACUAAUACAAAAGCUAUUACAAUACAUGCACACCAAAAAAUGUGUUUAGUUUAAUAACAAAUCCUGAUUUUGUGUAAUCUUUAUGACAAAUUAUGGAUCUUACGACAUUCAAAAGAAAAAAUAUUUUUAAGU